UGUUUUUAGUCUUUGCCGUGAGGAAAGUCCGGGCUUCACAGGGCAGGAUGCCGGAUAACGUCCGGCGGAGGCGACUCCCGGGAAAGUGCAACAGAGAUAUACCGCCGCGCCGAAAGCGCGGUAAGGGUGAAAAGGCGGUGUAAGAGACCACCGGCCGGCCGGUAACGGACGGUGCUAUGCAAACCCCAUCCGAAGCAAGCUCAAACAGGAGGCAUAAGGCGGCCCGUCUGCCUCCGGGUAGAGCGCUUGAGCCGUCCGGCAACGGGCGGUCUAGACAGAUGAUCAUUCACGACAGAACCCGGCUUACAGCCUCUCUCC
Molecule: RNase P RNA, 318 nt
Filed under: bovine gut metagenome
Description: Bacterial RNase P class A
Rfam family: Bacterial RNase P class A
About the family: Ribonuclease P (RNase P) is a ubiquitous endoribonuclease, found in archaea, bacteria and eukarya as well as chloroplasts and mitochondria. Its best characterised activity is the generation of mature 5'-ends of tRNAs by cleaving the 5'-leader elements of precursor-tRNAs.
Source: RNAcentral